UUAAAGAAUGGAACAUGCAAAAAAUAAAAAUAAAAAUAAAAAUAAAAUAAAAUAAAAAUUGGAGGUAUAGUGAGUGAAUAAGAGGUGUAAUGUGUAAUAUAUUAAUAUAUAUGUGAAUUACAUAAACAACGCUAUUUUAGAAAUUUAAAAGGAGGUUUAAUGAGCAAAUGCUUGUAUUUAAAAGUAAAAUAGACGUGUAGAGAGAAUGAGAUGUAUACUGAGUAAAUUUAGAGGUCCCAAUAACCGCAUUCUUCCGAUGAUUGCUAAAACCAAUCAAGUUUUUAGUUUAUAUAUUGGAAGUAUGGAAACGAAAAGACAAGAACAACCUCAAAUCAAUAUAUUAGUUCGGACGUUUCUAAUUAGCUAGUUCUAUGAAAAAAAUUGGUAUCAAAUCGGAAUUAAUUAAAAGUAGGAUCAUUUGGCAUGGUUUCGAUUUUUUUCAUGAACCGACACGAACUUGAGCCUAGCUAGUUGACAUUUAGCAUAUGGUUUUGUACACAGCACAUAUAGACGCCGGGAUCUGUUCCCAAUCCUUCCCAGCUCACAGAUCAUAGAACUAAUUAAUACAUCGAUCAG
RNAcentral lists this long non-coding RNA (576 nucleotides) under Fragaria vesca (wild strawberry). RNAcentral describes it as "long non-coding RNA (FVES_LNC001369)". The record is from RNAcentral. Lineage: Eukaryota; Viridiplantae; Streptophyta; Magnoliopsida; Rosales; Rosaceae.